RNAcentral lists this ribosomal RNA (455 nucleotides) under uncultured bacterium. RNAcentral describes it as "bacterial SSU rRNA". It matches the Rfam family "Bacterial small subunit ribosomal RNA", at positions 340 to 787 of the family's 1533-position model. The record is from RNAcentral.
UACGGAAGGCAGCAGUGGGGAAUAUUGCACAAUGGGCGCAAGCCUGAUGCAGCCAUGCCGCGUGUAUGAAGAAGGCCUUCGGGUUGUAAAGUACUUUCAGCGGGGAGGAAGGCGGUGGAGUUAAUAGCUUCACCGAUUGACGUUACCCGCAGAAGAAGCACCGGCUAACUCCGUGCCAGCAGCCGCGGUAAUACGGAGGGUGCAAGCGUUAAUCGGAAUUACUGGGCGUAAAGCGCACGCAGGCGGUCUGUCAAGUCGGAUGUGAAAUCCCCGGGCUUAACCUGGGGACUGCAUUCGAAACUGGCAGGCUAGAGUCUUGUAGAGGGGGUAGAAUUCCAGGUGUAGCGGUGAAAUGCGUAGAGAUCUGGAGGAAUACUGGUGGCGAAGGCGGGCCCCUGGGACAAAGACUGACGCUCAGGUGCGAAAGCGUGGGGAGCAAACAGGAUUAGAUAACC